This 211-nucleotide ribosomal RNA is filed under the name Klebsiella pneumoniae. RNAcentral describes it as "partial 16S ribosomal RNA". It matches the Rfam family "Bacterial small subunit ribosomal RNA", at positions 1323 to 1533 of the family's 1533-position model. RNAcentral also lists the same sequence under 1 other name. Lineage: Bacteria; Pseudomonadati; Pseudomonadota; Gammaproteobacteria; Enterobacterales; Enterobacteriaceae. The record is from RNAcentral.
AAGUCGGAAUCGCUAGUAAUCGUAGAUCAGAAUGCUACGGUGAAUACGUUCCCGGGCCUUGUACACACCGCCCGUCACACCAUGGGAGUGGGUUGCAAAAGAAGUAGGUAGCUUAACCUUCGGGAGGGCGCUUACCACUUUGUGAUUCAUGACUGGGGUGAAGUCGUAACAAGGUAACCGUAGGGGAACCUGCGGUUGGAUCACCUCCUUA